This is a long non-coding RNA of Photinus pyralis (common eastern firefly), 800 nucleotides long. RefSeq lists it as uncharacterized. The transcript is spliced from 3 exons. The record is from RefSeq and is a predicted model, not a curated record. Lineage: Eukaryota; Metazoa; Arthropoda; Insecta; Coleoptera; Lampyridae.
AGUUCAGUGGGGCGGAUGUCAUCGGAAAAAGGACGUAAAUGGGACCGGCGGAGCUUGGUGGUGUCACUGGUGGGGCGUUUAAACAAAAAAAAACAAAUGCACGCGAAUGAGUCUGCACCCGUUGAGCGGUCCAUGGUUUCAUUCUACUCUUCGAUCCCAUAAAAAGCUUGGCAUGGAGAUAGAUGAACGCCAGCUUGCGGUAAGUGAUUUUUCAUUUCUAAGCAUGGGUGAAAUAGUGAAAAGUGCACAUAGUGAAGGAAACGGAAGCAAUUACAUUUAGAAAUUUACUAGGUGAGAUAUAACGACACUUUCCAAGUCAAUUAGCUUAUUAAGAGGAUCGAAGUAGUCGCGGUACUGCAAAUCGUUUAACAAAGCCACUUGCCAAUCAAGAAAUCGGUUUCCUCGUACGAGCCGGUAUAGCCAUGAAUUCAUAGUUAUACUUGUUUAGUGCGAAGUUGUCCCCUUUUUGCUACUUGAUGUUCGAUAAAAUAUAAGAUAGCUGGCUUGGGUGUUUGAUUGUAUAUCAUAUAGUAAUUAGAAGAAGGUAAGUGAUUUACUUUUAAAUUACUUGGUAUUUGGUUUGGUUGCUAUGCUUGUAUUGGCCUUCCUUAUUAACAUUAUAACCAACCUGGUUAGUCACUAAACAUUUGUCUUGAAAAUAUUGUGUGGUACUCUAGCGUCAUCAAGAAAUGCACUUAUGUUGAUCCACCUGUACCACUCGCUAGUAUCUCAUUCUUCAGUAGAUCUUCGUUUUAUUUUAACCAGGAAAGUAUAUUGGUCUAAACUACUAAACAGAAAAG